GUGUCAGCAGCCGCGGUAAUACGGAGGGUGCGAGCGUUAAUCGGUUUUACUGGGCGUAAAGCGUACGCAGGCGGUUUGUUAAGCGAGAUGUGAAAGCCCCGGGCUCAACCUGGGAACUGCAUUUCGUUCUGGCAAACUAGAGUGUGAUAGAGGGUGGUAGUUUUUCAGGUGUAGCGGUGAAAUGCGUAGAGAUCUGAAGGAAUACCGAUGGCGAAGGCAGCCACCUGGGUCAACACUGACGCUCAUGUACGAAAGCGUGGGG
RNAcentral lists this ribosomal RNA (262 nucleotides) under uncultured prokaryote. Its description in RNAcentral is "partial 16S ribosomal RNA". It matches the Rfam family "Bacterial small subunit ribosomal RNA", at positions 505 to 766 of the family's 1533-position model. The record is from RNAcentral.